Long non-coding RNA from Apis florea (little honeybee), 1298 nucleotides. RefSeq lists it as uncharacterized. The record is from RefSeq and is a predicted model, not a curated record. NCBI's taxonomy places the organism in Eukaryota, Metazoa, Arthropoda, Insecta, Hymenoptera, Apidae.
CCGCUUUAGCGCGCUGACGUCUCGUUGCGGACGUCUGUGAUUUGUUCGGAGCUUUAAUCGUCGUCGUCGACGACGUCGACGCGGAUGUAACGCGUUCAGGCGCCGACGACGACGCCGUCGCUGCUCCAGAAACCAGCUGGUACCUGGCUGUCGUGAUUUUUUCUGACGAUGGUCGACCCACCACCGGCGGCGGCGUUGUUAACGGAUGAGGAAGAAGACGAUGCCGAGAGGAGGUGAGCGCUGGUGACUGGUGUUGGACUAGCGGAAGCGGUAACCGCUGAUACAGCUGCUUCCGAUGCACCAUCAACCAUCGGUGACCGCGUAGAACUCGGUAGACUGCGUACGACAGGCUCAGGAACAACGACUGGAGGACGUUGCUGCUGCUUGUUGCUGCCCAGAUCGCCAGCGCAGCCGUAAUCGUAGCUGCAGCAUAGCUGCCCGUCCUACGGAGAGGUUCGUUGGACACUGGGUUAGCCAACGGCGAAACGAACGGGACCAAGCGACUGUGUCGUGUUCGCCUGACUUUCGCCCUCUUCCGUUCUUUUUUUUUUUUCAAUCAAUUAUUUCUAUUUUUCUUUUCAUUCUUUGCACAAAAAUUCAACGCGAAUACUCCCUUGCCCGCGCGAAAAGUCUUGGUGUACGCGUGCGUGCUGCCAUCUAUCGGGUGCGUGAUCUGCAUAGUUGUAGAGGAUAAUCAGAAGCGGGAAAUUUCAAAUUGUACAAAAUAUGAUUUAUCUCGGCGUGAUCUGUAAUGCGAUUGUUUUUAAUAUUUCGGCGAAUUUAAAGAGAAGAUAUGAUAGUUUUAUUUGAUUUAAAUUUAUCCGGAGAACCUAUUAGGGAAGUGCGUCUGAUUUCGACGUGAAUUUGUGUGCGUGCAUGAUCGUUUCUUUAACUUUUGAAAGGUUAGAACGAAUCGUACGUGUUCAAUGCUCGUUGUAUAUGAUAUGAAUCGAUAUUCGUUGAUUCAUUAUGAGAAAGCAUAUGAUAAUCGCGGAUAUUGUAAUCAUCCUGAUUAACGUUGGUCCAAGACUUUUCGCAUUGUUGAAGGGGAUACUCAGGUAAUCCUCCACAUAAUAUGUAAUUCAUUGUUUCGUCGAAAUCGCGUACGACGAUUGCACGGUGAAUCCGUUUGUGGUGGAAAAUUUGCGUCCUUUAUAUAUAUAUAUAUAAUAUAUAUGUUGAUCACCCAGAUUCGAUGGAUCUUUCUCGUGCACGAUUAAUAAAAAAAAUGUUGCUUUUACAAGCACAAAUUACAAGAACUCGACUCAUAACAGACUCAUGCUCUGACAUUCGGGAAA